Cyprinus carpio carpio is the source of this 1724-nucleotide long non-coding RNA. The record is from Ensembl. Lineage: Eukaryota; Metazoa; Chordata; Actinopteri; Cypriniformes; Cyprinidae.
AAAAAAAUCCACAAAAAUGUUAAGCAGCACAACUGUGUUCAACAUUUAAAAUAAUAAGAAAUGUUUCCUGAGCACAAAAUCAGCAUACAGACGACUGGUUUAAUGGCUGCAGAAAAUGUACGUUUUAAAAUACAUUAUAGUAGUACAGCUAUAUGAAACUGUAAUAAUAUUUCACAAUAUUCCUUUUUUUUCUGUAUUAAUAGAGCUGACUGUAUAAAUAGAGCAGUGAUGAACAUUAGUGUAUCUUUAAUGCAUUUGUAGUGGCACUGAUAAUAAUUGAUAUUUAGUGUUUAUUCUUAUUUAUUUGCUUGACAUGUUGUCUUUCAUUCACUGAAAGUCUAUUUAUCUAAACAUUUUGGCCACCAAUUUAUUUUUGCGCUGUUACAUAUAAUGUAGCGUUCAUUUGAUAGUUUUGAAUUUAUAUUGCAGUGCUGAACUAUGUCUGUACUCCACGUCAUUCUGCCUCACCCUACACUCCCAGAAUCCUACUGUUUGGACCCCCAGGUUCAGGAAAGAGUCUUCAGGCAAAACUGAUUGCUCAGAAUUAUGGCAUUGUCAACAUUUGUUGUGGUGAGCUUCUGAAGGCUGUGUCAGCUGAUGAGAGCCAUAUGGGGGAGCUCAUUAAACCCUACCUGGAGACAAAACAGCAAGGGUCUUCUUCCUGGAGAUAACUGAUGACAUUGCUAUUGAGAGGGUAACACUUAGGGGUGUGGAUCCUGUGACUGGAGAAUGGUAUCACAGCAUAUAUAAACCUGCUUCUGGUCCGGAAGUGCAGUCCCGGCUUCGAUUUAACCCACGGCAUUCAAAGGCACAGCUGCUAAAGAGGCUUAAGGAGUACUGGAACUAUGCAGCGGACCUGCAGGCCUUCUACCCACAGGCAGUGUACAUCAACGCUGACCAGGACCCACACACUGUGUUUGAAUAACUGGAGAGUAGGCUAGUGAGCCGACUACCUAAAAUCCUGUCUUACUGAGAAACAGUUGAGCGCUAAACACUGUUAUUGGGAUACUCCACCCAAAAACAUUUUUACUCACUCUCAUGCCAUCCCAGGUGUAGGACUUUCUUUGUUCUGGUAAACAAAAAAUUAGAUUUUUAGAAAAAGAAUCCAUCUCUCUGAGUCCAUAUAAUGCAAAUGAAUGGCACCCUCAAAGCUGAUGCUUCAAAAUCCACACAAAAUUAACAUGACAGUAAUCCAAUACAACCCCUGUGAAUAAAUCAUUGUCUUCUGAAAUUAAAUGAAAAGUGUGUGUAAGAAGAAUAGUAGUAUUUUCGACUUUUUAUACUAUAAACCAUUGCUUCUGGCCACUCUAGACAACUAUUAAAUGCAGUUUCAUGAGUUUACUCUUGAUGUGAACUUCAGCAACUUGAUGCAAGACAUUUGGCAGCAAUGGUUUAUAGUUUAAUGUUUAUAUAAAGUUUAAAAUAAUAAUAUUUUCUCACACAUACACACUUAUUGUUUUGCUUCAGAAGACAUUGAUUCAUCCGCUGGUGUUGUAUGUGUUUGUUUCAUGUGAUUUGCAUCAACUUUGAUGGUCCCAUCCACUUACAUUAUAUGAAUACACAGAGAUGGAUUGUUUUUCUAGAAAUCAUCAUUUGUGUUCCACAAAAGAAAGAAAGCCAUAAACUUCUGAGAGAGCAUGAAAACAGGUUUUUUUGGUUGUAAAAAAAGGAGUACAUUUUAGUUCUAAUUUUCAUUUCAUUUUGUACACUUCGUAAGUCUGAUA